This 277-nucleotide ribosomal RNA is filed under the name uncultured bacterium. RNAcentral's name for it is "partial 16S ribosomal RNA". It matches the Rfam family "Bacterial small subunit ribosomal RNA", at positions 32 to 288 of the family's 1533-position model. The record is from RNAcentral.
AAUCAACGCUGGCGGCGUGCCUCAGACAUGCAAGUCGAACGCGAAAGUCCCCUUCGGGGGACAAGUAGAGUGGCGUCCGGGUGAGUAACACGUAGGUAAUCUACCUUCGGGUGGGGAAUAACCCAGGGAAACUUGGGCUAACACCGCAUAAUGCAGCGGCACCACAUGGUGACAGUUGUUAAAGCGGGGGAUUUUAGGACCUCGCGCCUGAAGAGGAGCCUGCGGCAGAUUAGCUUGUUGGUAAGGUAACGGCUUACCAAGGCGACGAUCUGUAGCC